RNAcentral lists this transfer RNA (84 nucleotides) under Waddlia chondrophila 2032/99. RNAcentral describes it as "transfer RNA-Leu(TAA)". It matches the Rfam family "tRNA". Rfam says of the family: Transfer RNA (tRNA) molecules are approximately 80 nucleotides in length. Lineage: Bacteria; Pseudomonadati; Chlamydiota; Chlamydiia; Parachlamydiales; Waddliaceae. The record is from RNAcentral.
GCUCGGAUGGUGGAAUAGGUAGACACUAGGGACUUAAAAUCCCUUGCUGGUAACAGCGUGUGGGUUCGAGUCCCACUCCGAGCA